This 254-nucleotide ribosomal RNA is filed under the name Thermaerobacter sp. Its description in RNAcentral is "partial 23S ribosomal RNA". It matches the Rfam family "Bacterial large subunit ribosomal RNA", at positions 2669 to 2925 of the family's 2925-position model. Lineage: Bacteria; Bacillati; Bacillota; Clostridia; Eubacteriales; Clostridiales Family XVII. Incertae Sedis. The record is from RNAcentral.
GAGCCGCCCCUAGUACGAGAGGACCGGGGUGGACGGACCUCUGGUGUACCAGUUGUUCCGCCAGGAGCAUGGCUGGCUAGCUACGUCCGGACGGGAUAAGCGCUGAAAGCAUCUAAGCGCGAAGCCCUCCCCAAGAUGAGGUUUCCCAUCCAUUGGAGUAAGACCCCUGGGAGACUACCAGGUUGAUAGGCCGGAGGUGUACACCCCGCAAGGGGCUGAGCUCACCGGUACUAAUCGGUCGAGGACUUGACCUU